This 253-nucleotide ribosomal RNA is filed under the name uncultured bacterium. Its description in RNAcentral is "partial 16S ribosomal RNA". It matches the Rfam family "Bacterial small subunit ribosomal RNA", at positions 524 to 776 of the family's 1533-position model. The record is from RNAcentral.
UACAUGUGGGGCAAGCGUUGUUCGGAAUUAUUGGGCGUAAAGGGCGCGUAGGCGGUUCGCUAAGUUGGAUGUGAAAACUCUGGGCUCAACCCAGAGCCUGCAUCCAAAACUGGCGGGCUAGAGUUCUGGAGGGGGUAGCGGAAUUCCUGGUGUAGCGGUGAAAUGCGCAGAUAUCAGGAGGAACACCAAUUGCGAAGGCAGCUCGCUGGGACGUUACUGACGCUGAGGAGCGAAAGCGUGGGGAGCGAACAGG